GUAUGUUCCUAGCUUAGUAAGUGAGUCUCUUUUAUCAAUGAACUAUGCAUUUUUCUAUCUGAUGUCUUUGUGCUGGUUUCCAGGAUCAUUUAAGAAAAUGAACUCAUAAUAACAUAUGGUAGCUGACUUCAGUAUGGAUUUUCCACUGCAUUGAUCAACUCAGUGAAAUUCUCUUACAUAAAUACAAAUGUUCACAAGACAAAGAUAUCCGUCCAGCAUGGAUGUUGUUCAGAAAGAGGAAAGGAAAAUCCUGCUUUCCACUUGGUGUCGGCUGUAUGCACUUCUCUCAGUCCUCUUGGACGCCGUUGGAUCGCAAUCCAUAGCAUAUUUUACAAAUGAAGAGCAUACGUAAAGAGAGAAGUCUAACAGAUGGCUCCGGGAAAUGCGUAAUAAAUGAAAAGAAACAACAGUGCGCCUUACUAAAACUGAGCAAAGCAGCCUUGGAGGGUGUUGCUGUUUGCCGCAGUCUGAGGACCUGAAGCACAGCUCUUUGCAGCAGACGGAUGGAGUGAUAAAUGGCUGAGCAAAUGCAAAGGCCAUGGGAGAAAUACUCUGAACGUUCUCAUGAGAUAUAUUGUAUUUUAGUUUUUUAGACCUUUCUUAAGUCUAAGGAAUGAAAAAUAUAAUACGCCACAGUCACCAACACAUUUAAAAGACAAGAAAUCGUGUCUAACAAAACAAUUUUUAAAAUGCUGUAGAUCCUUUUGAAGGAAACAGCACUGAACCCAGUUGAAGGUGAAGAUGAUAGAUGUAUGACAUUAGAUUUUUGGCAUUGAAAUUAAGGAAUACAAUAAAAUCAAUAUUGAGAAAUGAUAAGAAAGCAAAGGACAGACAAAGGCCAGAACCUCCUAAACAAUUUUCGUC
Molecule: long non-coding RNA, 864 nt
Filed under: Equus caballus (horse)
Lineage: Eukaryota; Metazoa; Chordata; Mammalia; Perissodactyla; Equidae
Description: lncRNA (ENSECAG00000035272.3)
Source: RNAcentral